GAAGGGUGUACCUGCAGGCCCGGAGACCCAACAACGUUCUCAGGACCGCAUUCUCAGGACCCAGGCAUUUCUAACACAGCGCCUCCUACAGGGUGGAGUUUGUUUUAUUUUCUGGAGACUUUAGGAGACACAUUGCACACAAGGCCUGCAGGUUUAUAUUACUGGUACAAUCGACGGGCCACAAGCUCCCCGCUCACCUCCAUUCUGAUGCAUCCACUUGCAGACAAUUAGAUCCAUGAUUAAUCCUUCAAGUGAGAUGAACCAAGGUGAACCAGGAGGACUGUCUGCAUGAUUCAGCUCUAAAUAAAGGUGUGUUCGAAAAAAAAAAAAAAGUGAUGCAACAAAAUGGGAACAGGGAUGUAGCCUAUUUUUGAUAUACAAAAAAAAACUUAACAUAUUAAACUAAUAGUUUUAAAGUGUAUAAUUAUGUAUUAAAUUAUAUUAUAUAUUGUUCUUGUUAGUGAAUUGUUAGGAAUUACCUUUUUUCAGAUAUAUAAUUUAUUUUUUUCAGAAAAAAAAAA
Oryzias melastigma (Indian medaka) is the source of this 521-nucleotide long non-coding RNA. RefSeq lists it as uncharacterized. The record is from RefSeq and is a predicted model, not a curated record. Lineage: Eukaryota; Metazoa; Chordata; Actinopteri; Beloniformes; Adrianichthyidae. The transcript is spliced from 2 exons.